UGACUAUCCAGAUGCAUAUACAACUUGAAAUAAAAUCUCUUCAAUAGGCUCUUUUAUUUCACUUUCAGCUGCACUAUUAAUAAAG
Molecule: long non-coding RNA, 85 nt
Organism: Hyaena hyaena (striped hyena)
Lineage: Eukaryota; Metazoa; Chordata; Mammalia; Carnivora; Hyaenidae
Exons: 3
Source: RefSeq, a predicted model, not a curated record